UACGGAGGAUCCAAGCGUUAUCCGGAAUCAUUGGGUUUAAAGGGUCCGUAGGCGGUUUUGUAAGUCAGUGGUGAAAGCCCAUCGCUCAACGGUGGAACGGCCAUUGAUACUGCAAGACUUGAAUUAUUGGGAAGUAACUAGAAUAUGUAGUGUAGCGGUGAAAUGCUUAGAGAUUACAUGGAAUACCAAUUGCGAAGGCAGGUUACUACCAAUAUAUUGACGCUGAUGGGCGAAAGCGUGGGGAGCGAACAGG
This 253-nucleotide ribosomal RNA is filed under the name uncultured bacterium. RNAcentral describes it as "partial 16S ribosomal RNA". It matches the Rfam family "Bacterial small subunit ribosomal RNA", at positions 524 to 776 of the family's 1533-position model. The record is from RNAcentral.